GACGAACGCUGGCGGCGUGCCUAAUACAUGCAAGUAGAACGCUGAAGGAGGAGCUUGCUUCUCUGGAUGAGUUGCGAACGGGUGAGUAACGCGUAGGUAACCUGCCUGGUAGCGGGGGAUAACUAUUGGAAACGCUAGCUAAUACCGCAUAAUAGUAGAUGUUGCAUGACAUUUGCUUAAAAGGUGCAAUUGCAUCACUACCAGAUGGACCUGCGUUGUAUUAGCUAGUUGGUGGGGUAACGGCUCACCAAGGCGACGAUACAUAGCCGACCUGAGAGGGUGAUCGGCCACACUGGGACUGAGACACGGCCCAGACUCCUACGGGAGGCAGCAGUAGGGAAUCUUCGGCAAUGGACGGAAGUCUGACCGAGCAACGCCGCGUGAGUGAAGAAGGUUUUCGGAUCGUAAAGCUCUGUUGUAAGAGAAGAACGAGUGUGAGAGUGGAAAGUUCACACUGUGACGGUAUCUUACCAGAAAGGGACGGCUAACUACGUG
Molecule: ribosomal RNA, 495 nt
Filed under: uncultured bacterium
Lineage: Bacteria
Description: partial 16S ribosomal RNA
Rfam family: Bacterial small subunit ribosomal RNA
Source: RNAcentral